This 465-nucleotide ribosomal RNA is filed under the name uncultured bacterium. RNAcentral describes it as "partial 16S ribosomal RNA". It matches the Rfam family "Bacterial small subunit ribosomal RNA", at positions 338 to 795 of the family's 1533-position model. The record is from RNAcentral.
CCUACGGGCGGCAGCAGUAGGGAAUCUUCCACAAUGGACGAAAGUCUGAUGGAGCAACGCCGCGUGCGUGAAGAAGGGUUUCGGCUCGUAAAGCCCUGUUGGUGGUGAAGAAAGAUAGAGGUAGUAACUUGCCUUUAUUUGACGGUCAUUACUUAGAACGUCACGGCUAACUACUUUCCAGCAGCCGCGUUAAUACGUAGGUGGCAAGCGUUGUCCGGAUUUAUUGGGCGUAAAGCGUGUGCAGGCGGUACAAGAAGUCUGAUGUGAAAGCCGUCGGCUCAACCGGAGAAUUGCAGCAGAAACUGGUGGACGUGAGUGAAGAAGAGGAGAGUGGAACUCCAUGUGUAGCGGUGGAAUGCGUAGAUAUAUGGAAGAACACCAGUGGCGAAGGCGGCUCUCUGGUCUGCAACUGACGCUGAGGCUCGAAAGCAUGGGGAGCGAACAGGAUUAGAUACCCCGGUAGUC